UGGGGAAUCUUAGACAAUGGGGGAAACCCUGAUCUAGCCAUGCCGCGUGAGUGAUGAAGGCCCUAGGGUCGUAAAGCUCUUUCGCCAGGGAUGAUAAUGACAGUACCUGGUAAAGAAACCCCGGCUAACUCCGUGCCAGCAGCCGCGGUAAUACGGGGGAUGCAAGCGUUAUCCGGAAUUACUGGGCGUAAAGCGUCUGUAGGUGGCUUGGUUAGUCUAUUGUUAAAUAUUAGGGCUUAACCCUGAGACAGCAUUAGAAACUUCUAAGCUAGAGUAUGGUAUGGGCAAAGGGAAUUCCCAGUGUAGCGGUGAAAUGCGUAGAUAUUGGGAAGAACACCAGUAGCGAAAGCGCUUUGCUUGGCCUCAGCUGACACUGAGAGACGAAAGCUAAGGUAGCGAAUGGGAUUAGAUACCCGCGUAGUCC
This 424-nucleotide ribosomal RNA is filed under the name uncultured prokaryote. RNAcentral's name for it is "bacterial SSU rRNA". It matches the Rfam family "Bacterial small subunit ribosomal RNA", at positions 355 to 796 of the family's 1533-position model. The record is from RNAcentral.